GCGAUUGGCGACACCAGCAGAAAAGUCGU
RNAcentral lists this non-coding RNA (29 nucleotides) under Cricetulus griseus (Chinese hamster). The record is from RNAcentral. Lineage: Eukaryota; Metazoa; Chordata; Mammalia; Rodentia; Cricetidae.